This 1990-nucleotide long non-coding RNA is filed under the name Homo sapiens (human). Its description in RNAcentral is "HSALNT0133491". The record is from RNAcentral. Lineage: Eukaryota; Metazoa; Chordata; Mammalia; Primates; Hominidae.
UGUGUCUUGUGUCUUUCACCAUGAUUGUGAGGCCUCCCCUGCCGCGUGGAACUACUCUUGCUCUGUUGCCCAGUCUAGAGUGAGCAAGCAGCCUCUCACUAGAGUUCACUGCAGCCUGGAGUUCCUGGGGUCAAGUAAUCCUCCUGCCUCAGCCCGCCAGAGCGCUGCCCAGAGAUUGUCAACAAUAGAGAAACAUCACGGAAGACAAAAAACCCACAGGCACUUUGAGUCCACCAGUCAACAGCCUAUACUGAUUGCUGGUGGGGUUCCCUGUAUCCAGCGAGGAAGACAGAAUGCAAAGCCAAGAAAGGUACAUGAAAUGUGUGGUAGUGGUUCCUCUUGUGAUCAAGCAGCUUUAGAGAUUGGCAUUGAAAAUAUAGAACUAUGAUUUAUGAUCUUCAACAUGAAAAUGAUCAUUGAUGCGACACAGAAAAAUACAAAACAGGAUUGACGGCCACAAUGUGUAUAUGUGUUGUGAGUGUAAAGGGUAGAAUAUUUCAGACUCUCUGUGUUAACCAAAAAUAAAAUUAUUUUCUUGUUUUUCUGUAACUCAACCUCAAUUUGAACACACUAUUUCACAUAAUAACAGAAAUUUGGUCUAAUCAUUCAAAACAAACUCCAAGGUUUUCUCAGUCAUUUCUUACGUAAUCUCAAUAUUCUCUCUCUUUCAUUCCUUUUCCAUUUGUGGAGGUGAGAGGCUAAUAAUAGUAAUAAUUAUAACAAUAGCUAAAAUAUUAAGCUACUAUUAACUUCUUAAGGUGCAAUCCCUCCCUCACACCACUCCCUGCUUUCUCAUCCCCAGACAGCUGAUCUUCUUUCUAUCGUGAUAGAUUAGUCUGCAUUUUUAUAUGUCAUUUUAUAUAAAUUGAAUCAUACCAUAUGUACUCUUUUUGUUUGGCUUCAUUCACUCAACAUAAUUUUUUUGAGAUUCAUUCAUAUUGUUGCUUGUAUUAAUAAUUCAUUCCUUUUUAUUGUGUGAAUAUACCUCAUUCCAUUAAACAGGUAAUGGAAAUUUUGGUUGUUUCCAGUUUGUAACCAUCACAAAUAGAGUCUCUGUGAAUAUUAAGGUACAACCUGUUUGGUGGACAUAUGUUUCCACUUUCCUUCUACUCUUCCUAGAAGUGGAAUGCAGGGGUCAUACGGUAGGUGUUCAUACAUCUUUCUAAGAAAAUGCCAAACUGUUUUCCAAAGUGAUUUUAUUAUUUUACAUUCACACCAGUAAUGUAUAAGAGUUUAUAGUCCCUCCAGCAAACUAACAAGGAACAGAAAACCAAACACCACAUGUUUUCACUCAUAAGCGGGAGUUGAACGAUGAGAACAUAUGGACACACGGAGGGGUACAUCACACAUCGGGGCCUAUCAGGUGGUUGGGGGCAAGGGUAGGGAAAACAUUAGGACAAAUAUCUAAUGCAUGUGGGGCUUAAAACCUAGAUCAUGGGUUGACAGGUGCAGCAAACCACCAUGGCACAUGUAUACCUAUGUAACAAACCUGCACGUUCUGCAUAUGUAUCCCAGAACUUAAAGUAAAAUUAAAAAUAAAAAAGUUUACAGCCCCCCAAUAUGUAAUAUGCUCAGACUUUUAAAAUUUCUGUCAUUUCAGUGGGUGAGUAGUGAUAACUCAUUGUGGUGGAAUUUUCAUUUCCCUAGUGACUAAUGAUCUUAAGCCUCUUUUGAUGUGUUUAUCAUCUGUAUAACUCCUUUGAUAAAACAUCUGUUUGUAUAUCUUGCCCAUUUUCUACUAUGCUAUUUCUUUUUAUUAGACAUUUUUAUGUUCUAAUUACAAGUUAUUUAUCAGAUUCAUGUUUGCAAUAUUUUUCCUGGUUUAUUUGCUUAACAGAAUAAACUGUUUUAGAUGGUAAUGCACAAUAUUAAUUUUUUUCUCUUAUGAAUUGUGUUUCUGGUGUUGUAUUUAAGAAAUAUUUUCCAAGGCCAAGACCACUAAAGUUUUCUCCUAUGUUAUCGUCUAGAAGUCCUAUACUUUUGACAUGUU